RNAcentral lists this ribosomal RNA (433 nucleotides) under uncultured bacterium. RNAcentral's name for it is "partial 16S ribosomal RNA". It matches the Rfam family "Bacterial small subunit ribosomal RNA", at positions 28 to 507 of the family's 1533-position model. The record is from RNAcentral.
GACGAACGCUGGCGGCAGGCCUAACACAUGCAAGUCGAGCGAAACCUUCGGGUCUAUCGGCGUACGAGGGAGUAACGCGUGGGAACGUUCCCUUUUCUGCGGAAUAGCCUCGGGAAAGUGAGCGUAAUACCGCAUACGCCCUUUUGGGGGAAGAUUUAUCGGAAAAGGAUCGGCCCUCGUUGGAUUAGGUAGUGGGGUGGGUAAUGGCCUACCAAGCCUACGAUCCGUAGCUGGUUUGAGAGGAUGAUCAGCCACACUGGGACUGAGACACGGCCCAGACUCCUACGGGAGGCAGCAGUGGGGAAUCUUAGACAAUGGGGGCAACGAUGAUCUAGCCAUGCCGCGAGAGUGAUGAAGGCAUUAGGGUUGUAAAGCUCUUUUAGCUGGGAAGAUAAUGACGGUACCAGAAGAAGAAGCCCCGGCUAACUACGUG